CUGCCAUGAUGAGAUUCAUUGAUAUUUAAGAAAGCAGAAAUGCUUAAUGUUCGGUUGACAAUCCUGUCAAUCCUGAGCGGUUACCUGAGCAG
Molecule: small nucleolar RNA, 92 nt
Filed under: Spinacia oleracea (spinach)
Lineage: Eukaryota; Viridiplantae; Streptophyta; Magnoliopsida; Caryophyllales; Amaranthaceae
Description: small nucleolar RNA snoR128
Rfam family: small nucleolar RNA snoR128
Source: Rfam by way of RNAcentral